CUUUGUGUUCCUUGCCUUGGCGUCUAUUGAUGUGGGGGCUGGAGCUUAAAAGGGAAUCGAGUGCGAAUCUCGGACAGUCCCGCUGCUGUGUACGAUCGUCAAGCCUUUGGUCGAGUCGAUACCACUGGUAGUUCUGUGCUACUGGGAAGGUAGACCGAGGCGAGAUUGUGAGUCAGAAGACCUGCAAAGCUAUUAAAGGCUUC
This 203-nucleotide non-coding RNA is filed under the name Porphyromonas sp. The record is from RNAcentral. Lineage: Bacteria; Pseudomonadati; Bacteroidota; Bacteroidia; Bacteroidales; Porphyromonadaceae.